UCAGGAUAUGGUGUAACGGCUAACAUUACCGCCUUUCAUGGAGAGCUGCUUACUCUGUCCGCGGUAGCUCGGGGUUCGAUUCCCCGUAUUCGAA
Molecule: non-coding RNA, 94 nt
Organism: Armillaria mellea
Lineage: Eukaryota; Fungi; Basidiomycota; Agaricomycetes; Agaricales; Physalacriaceae
Source: the annotation of a GenBank genome assembly